UCAGGACGAACGCUGGCGGCGUGCCUAAUACAUGCAAGUAGAACGCUGAAGAGAGGAGCUUGCUCUUCUUGGAUGAGUUGCGAACGGGUGAGUAACGCGUAGGUAACCUGCCUUGUAGCGGGGGAUAACUAUUGGAAACGAUAGCUAAUACCGCAUAACAAUGGAUGACACAUGUCAUUUAUUUGAAAGGGGCAAUUGCUCCACUACAAGAUGGACCUGCGUUGUAUUAGCUAGUAGGUGAGGUAACGGCUCACCUAGGCGACGAUACAUAGCCGACCUGAGAGGGUGAUCGGCCACACUGGGACUGAGACACGGCCCAGACUCCUACGGGAGGCAGCAGUAGGGAAUCUUCGGCAAUGGGGGCAACCCUGACCGAGCAACGCCGCGUGAGUGAAGAAGGUUUUCGGAUCGUAAAGCUCUGUUGUAAGUCAAGAACGAG
RNAcentral lists this ribosomal RNA (439 nucleotides) under Streptococcus salivarius. Its description in RNAcentral is "bacterial SSU rRNA". It matches the Rfam family "Bacterial small subunit ribosomal RNA", at positions 24 to 453 of the family's 1533-position model. Lineage: Bacteria; Bacillati; Bacillota; Bacilli; Lactobacillales; Streptococcaceae. The record is from RNAcentral.